This 445-nucleotide ribosomal RNA is filed under the name uncultured bacterium. RNAcentral's name for it is "partial 16S ribosomal RNA". It matches the Rfam family "Bacterial small subunit ribosomal RNA", at positions 354 to 796 of the family's 1533-position model. The record is from RNAcentral.
GUGAGGAAUAUUGGUCAAUGGACGAGAGUCUGAACCAGCCAAGUAGAGUGAAGGAUGACUGCCCUAUGGGUUGUAAACUUCUUUUAUAAGGGAAUAAAGUGAGGGACGUGUCCCUUUUUGUAUGUACCUUAUGAAUAAGGAUCGGCUAACUCCGUGCCAGCAUCCGCGGUAAUACGGAGGAUCAAAGAGUUAUCCGGCUUUAUUGGGUUUAAAGGGAGCGUAGGUUGACAUAUAAGUCAGCUGUGAAAGUUCACGGCUCAACCGUGAAAUUGCAGUUGAUAAUGUAUGUCUUGAGUGUACAGGAGGUGAGCGGAAUGCGUGGUGUAGCGGUGAAAUGCUUAGAUAACACGAAGAACUCCAAUUGCGAAGGCAGCUCACUGGGGUACAACUGACACUGAGGCUCGAAAGUGUGGGUAUCAAACAGGAUUAGAUACCCGUGUAGUCC